AUUGAACGCUGGCGGCAUGCUUUACACAUGCAAGUCGAACGGCAGCGCGGGCUUCGGCCUGGCGGCGAGUGGCGAACGGGUGAGUAAUGCAUCGGAACGUGCCCAGUAGUGGGGGAUAGCCCGGCGAAAGCCGGAUUAAUACCGCAUACGACCUGAGGGUGAAAGCGGGGGACCGAAAGGCCUCGCGCUAUUGGAGCGGCCGAUGUCGGAUUAGCUAGUUGGUGGGGUAAAGGCUUACCAAGGCGACGAUCCGUAGCUGGUCUGAGAGGACGACCAGCCACACUGGGACUGAGACACGGCCCAGACUCCUACGGGAGGCAGCAGUGGGGAAUUUUGGACAAUGGGGGCAACCCUGAUCCCGCCAUGCCGCGUGCGGGAAGAAGGCCUUCGGGUUGUAAACCGCUUUUGUUCGGGAAGAAAUCCUCUGGGCUAAUACCCCGGGGGGAUGACGGUACCGGAAGAAUAAGCACCGGCUAACUACGUG
This 484-nucleotide ribosomal RNA is filed under the name uncultured bacterium. Its description in RNAcentral is "partial 16S ribosomal RNA". It matches the Rfam family "Bacterial small subunit ribosomal RNA", at positions 28 to 507 of the family's 1533-position model. The record is from RNAcentral.